CAAUAGCGUAUAUUAAAGUUGUUGCGGUUAAAAAGCUCGUAGUUGGAUUUCUGCCGAGGACGACCGGUCCGCCCUUUGGGUGUGUAUCUGGCUCUUUCUUGGCAUCUUCUUGGUGAACGUUGCUGCACUUGACUGUGUGGAGCGCUACCCAGGACUUUUACUUUGAGGAGAUUAGAGUGUUUCAAGCAGGCAUACGCCUUGAAUACAUUAGCAUGGGAUAAUAAGAUAGGACCUCGGUUCUAUUUUGUUGGUUUCUAGAGCUGAGGUAAUGAUUAAUAGGGAUAGUUGGGGGCAUUCGUAUUUAACUGUCAGAGGUGAAAUUCUUGGAUUUGUUAAAGACGGACUACUGCGAAANCANNNGCCAAGGGUGUUUUCAUNGA
RNAcentral lists this ribosomal RNA (380 nucleotides) under uncultured eukaryote. RNAcentral describes it as "partial 18S ribosomal RNA". It matches the Rfam family "Eukaryotic small subunit ribosomal RNA", at positions 592 to 976 of the family's 1831-position model. The record is from RNAcentral.